This 908-nucleotide ribosomal RNA is filed under the name uncultured bacterium. Its description in RNAcentral is "bacterial SSU rRNA". It matches the Rfam family "Bacterial small subunit ribosomal RNA", at positions 21 to 906 of the family's 1533-position model. The record is from RNAcentral.
GGCUCAGAACGAACGCUGGCGGCGUGCCUAACACAUGCAAGUCGAACGUGAUUGAGGAGCUUGCUCCUCAUGAAAGUGGCGCACGGGUGAGUAACGCGUAGAUAAUCUGCCUGGUGAUCCGGGAUAACACUUCGAAAGGGGUGCUAAUACCUGAUAAGCCCACGGAGUCUUUGGAUUCUGCGGGAAAAGGGGGGGACCUUCGGGCCUUCUGUCACCAGAUGAGUCUGCGUACCAUUAGCUAGUUGGUAGGGUAAAGGCCUACCAAGGCGACGAUGGUUAGCUGGUCUGAGAGGAUGAUCAGCCACACUGGAACUGAGACACGGUCCAGACUCCUACGGGAGGCAGCAGUGGGGAAUUUUGCGCAAUGGGGGAAACCCUGACGCAGCAACGCCGCGUGAGUAAUGAAGGCCCUUGGGUCGUAAAGCUCUGACAGAGGGAAAGAAAUGUGGGUGGCUAAUAUCCAUACCACUUGACGGUACCCUCAAAGGAAGCACCGGCUAACUCCGUGCCAGCAGCCGCGGUAAUACGGGGGGUGCAAGCGUUGUUCGGAUUUAUUGGGCGUAAAGCGCGUGUAGGCGGUUUUAUAAGUCUGAUGUGAAAGCCCUGGGCUCAACCUGGGAAGUGCAUUGGAUACUGUAAGACUUGAAUACGGGAGAGGGCAGUGGAAUUCCUGGUGUAGGAGUGAAAUCCGUAGAUAUCAGGAGGAACACCGGUGGCGAAGGCGGCUGCCUGGACCGAUAUUGACGCUGAGACGCGAAAGCGUGGGUAGCAAACAGGAUUAGAUACCCUGGUAGUCCACGCCGUAAACGAUGAGAACUAGGUGUUGCGGGUAUUGACCCCUGCAGUGCCGCAGCUAACGCAUUAAGUUCUCCGCCUGGGAAGUACGGUCGCAAGACUAAAACUCAAAG